UUGAUGUCAAAUCUGGCAUAAGAUUUUAUAGUACACAUUUGGGGUGAUUGAGUGCAAGGAAAAAAUUAUCAAGCAUGAAAUCAAACUAUUAUUAUUGUUGCAAAAUCAUAUCCGACAAAAAGCCUCCUCGUGGGGUUAUUGAAUAUUUCUUUAUGCAGCUGUUUUUAUUGUGGUUAUUUUGAUAUUUGGUUACAAGACCAAAUAUGUUAUGAUUAUUUAAUUUUUUGAUAAUCUAGGACUGUAUUUUUGAUUAUUUGAUUAUCUUGUUUCGAAAAAUGAUUAAUGAUUCUGUGAUUAUAUUGGUAAAAAAAUUGUGAUUAUUUGAUCAUUUAGACACCCCCAUGAGGGGCCUCACAAAAUAUAAUCUCUAUUGAAUAUAAUUGAAUAUGAUAAAAAUGUUAAAAGGGCAAUUCAAGUUUAAAGUUGUAUAGCAUUGCGCUUAAACACAAACAAACAACACAUGGUGUAGAUAACUGUACGUGGUAGAGACGCACAGUUUGAUUCAAUGUAAAUCCAUCAAUGUUUUGUGAUAUGUUCUCAAACACUUUUAAAUAUUUGAUUAUAUAAUAUAACAAAACAAUUAUCACUGAUCUAUUUGGAUUCAAAAUCCGUUUUUCUGAUGAAUGACAAAUAAUUUCAUUUGAUAGAAUAGAUGCAUUAUGUCAAAAAC
Molecule: long non-coding RNA, 670 nt
Filed under: Mytilus galloprovincialis (Mediterranean mussel)
Lineage: Eukaryota; Metazoa; Mollusca; Bivalvia; Mytilida; Mytilidae
Source: RNAcentral